Molecule: non-coding RNA, 25 nt
Filed under: Cricetulus griseus (Chinese hamster)
Lineage: Eukaryota; Metazoa; Chordata; Mammalia; Rodentia; Cricetidae
Source: RNAcentral
AGUUUGUCAAAGUGGAGCAGGAAAA